This 268-nucleotide ribosomal RNA is filed under the name uncultured bacterium. Its description in RNAcentral is "partial 16S ribosomal RNA". It matches the Rfam family "Bacterial small subunit ribosomal RNA", at positions 87 to 354 of the family's 1533-position model. The record is from RNAcentral.
UAAACUUAGUGGCGGACGGGUGAGUAACGCGUGGGUAACCUGCCGUAUACAGGGGGGUAACGACUUAGAAAUAGGUGCUAAAACCGCAUAAGCGCACAGCGCCGCAUGGCGCAGUGUGAAAAACUCCGGUGGUAUACGAUGGACCCGCGUCUGAUUAGCUAGUUGGCGGGGUAACGGCCCACCAAGGCAGCGAUCAGUAGCCGGCCUGAGAGGGUGGACGGCCACAUUGGGACUGAGACACGGCCCAAACUCCUACGGAAGGCAGCAG